This is a long non-coding RNA of Balaenoptera acutorostrata (minke whale), 849 nucleotides long. RefSeq lists it as uncharacterized. The transcript is spliced from 3 exons. The record is from RefSeq and is a predicted model, not a curated record. NCBI's taxonomy places the organism in Eukaryota, Metazoa, Chordata, Mammalia, Artiodactyla, Balaenopteridae.
UCUGUGAAAAAGUCCAUGGCUCAGGGGAGUCUGCGUGGAAGUGAUACCGGACUGGAGGCUUGAAGGAUAAAUGGAGAAAUCAUUGGAUGAACGGGACUGGGGAAGAGGCAGUAGGAAAGUUCACUUCAGAACAGGCAACCACGGGGCACAGGUGAGCUGCCAGCAGAAUGACGUCUAAAUUUUACCAGCAGCAACACAUCAUUUGUGCUUCAAAUAGAUCUCUGCCCAGAUGUCCCUUUUACAAUGAUGUACUGUCUAGUACGGAAGACAGAUCAACAAUGAACACGUGGGGAAAGCUAUGUAUGAAUUCUGCACACUGUGUAAGAACAUGUGAGGGCAAAUGAACAGGGACAACGGACAACUCAACAUGACUUGGGUCAUUAAUUUGCUUGGCAAGCUAUUCUCAUCCUCCUCUUGUCUUCACUGCCUUGGCCAAGGGGACUAAAGCACCUGCCCCAAGUAGAUAUUAACUGACUACUUCACUCAGAUACACUUUCAGGAAGUCCCAAGAUACAAGGGCUUUAGAAAGGUCAUGGUCAUCAAUGAAGCUGGCGCUACAGUCUGAAUGUUUGGGUCUCCAAAAUCCAUAUGUUGAAGUCCUAACCUCCUAAUCCAUACGGUAUUAGUAGGUGGGGCCUUUGAGAAGCGCUGGUCAUGAGGUGCUUCAGUCUCUUAUGAAUGAGACUACGGUCUUACAAAAGAGACUCUGCAGAUAUCCCUUGCCCCUUCCACCAUGGAAGGACACGGUGAGAGAAGCUGGCUGUCUGCAUUCUGGAAGAGUGCUUUCACCAGAUACUAAAUCUGCUGGUACCAUGAUCCUGGACUUCCCAGCCUCCAAAACCGUGAGAA